RNAcentral lists this ribosomal RNA (57 nucleotides) under Porphyra umbilicalis (laver). RNAcentral's name for it is "partial 5.8S ribosomal RNA". Lineage: Eukaryota; Rhodophyta; Bangiophyceae; Bangiales; Bangiaceae. The record is from RNAcentral.
AUCCAGUAGAUAUAAUAACCAUAUACAACUCUUAACGGUGGAUAUCUCGGUUCUCGC